RNAcentral lists this ribosomal RNA (91 nucleotides) under Gordonibacter urolithinfaciens. Lineage: Bacteria; Bacillati; Actinomycetota; Coriobacteriia; Eggerthellales; Eggerthellaceae. The record is from RNAcentral.
CACCCGAUCCCAUUCCGAACUCGGAAGUUAAGCCCGCCAUCGCCGAAAGUACUGCGGAGUCAGUCCGUGGGAGGAUAGGGCGUCGCGCUCG